Molecule: long non-coding RNA, 657 nt
Organism: Oryza brachyantha (malo sina)
Lineage: Eukaryota; Viridiplantae; Streptophyta; Magnoliopsida; Poales; Poaceae
Exons: 3
Source: RefSeq, a predicted model, not a curated record
UGGAUCAGCCUCGUCGUCGGCGGCGGCGGCGCGGUGUGCGGGAGGGGAGCCCCGAGGCCCGAGCUUGGUAGGGCUUCGCUCGUCCGGCGGUGGGGCUCGCUCGCGCGCGCUACUUCGCCGUCGUUGCGGUUCGUCGCCCACCCGUUGGCAUCUCCUUCCGCCGCUGCCUCUUCCGGGUGCCGGUCGCCUGCGACUGUUUGCAGCAACGGCUGUAUGGGGAUCGUAAAAGCUUCAACUUGGAGAUGUACCGUAAGUUGGAAGAUGUCAAGAUGCAAUCAACCAAUCUGAAGGACUGCAACUAGAGCAAGCUGGAACAACCAAUCUGCGGAUUUGGCCGACGGGUUCAGACUCCAGAAACUCACUGUACACCUGCUGUUUCGUUCGUCUCCGGCCCCGGUUUCUUCAUGUUCUUCCCUGACACAAUGGGUUGUCGACUGUUCCUACAAACUGGUGCUAGCUGCUGCCUGCAAAUGCAGAGCAUCAGCUUGCUCUUCUCACUGAAGAAGCAGCUGUUUAGGUCACUCUGCUGCCGACCUCUCCGGUGCCGGCCUCAGAUGUCCAGCCAGUUGCUUCAGUGCAAACGCGUAGUGCCUUAGGCCGCGUUCGGAGGACAUAGGUAAGUUAACUUAUGUCGGCACGAAAAACGUAGUAAUAGAU